CCUACGGGUGUCUGCAGUGGGGAAUAUUGGACAAUGGGGGGAACCCUGAUCCAGCCAUGCCGCGUGUGUGAAGAAGGCCCUCGGGUUGUAAAGCACUUUCAGUGAGGAAGAACGCCUGGUGGUUAAUACCCAUCAGGAAAGACAUCACUCACAGAAGAAGCACCGGCUAACUCCGUGCCAGCAGCCGCGGUAAUACGGAGGGUGCGAGCGUUAAUCGGAAUUACUGGGCGUAAAGCGCGCGUAGGUGGCUUGAUAAGCCGGUUGUGAAAGCCCCGGGCUCAACCUGGGAACGGCAUCCGGAACUGUCAAGCUAGAGUGCAGGAGAGGAAGGUAGAAUUCCCGGUGUAGCGGUGAAAUGCGUAGAGAUCGGGAGGAAUACCAGUGGCGAAGGCGGCCUUCUGGACUGACACUGACACUGAGGUGCGAAAGCGUGGGUAGCAAACAGGAUUAGAUACCCGGGUAGUC
RNAcentral lists this ribosomal RNA (465 nucleotides) under Vreelandella stevensii. RNAcentral's name for it is "partial 16S ribosomal RNA". It matches the Rfam family "Bacterial small subunit ribosomal RNA", at positions 338 to 795 of the family's 1533-position model. Lineage: Bacteria; Pseudomonadati; Pseudomonadota; Gammaproteobacteria; Oceanospirillales; Halomonadaceae. The record is from RNAcentral.